RNAcentral lists this ribosomal RNA (256 nucleotides) under uncultured bacterium. Its description in RNAcentral is "partial 16S ribosomal RNA". It matches the Rfam family "Bacterial small subunit ribosomal RNA", at positions 524 to 776 of the family's 1533-position model. The record is from RNAcentral.
GACGUAGGUGGCAAACGUUAUCCGGAAUUAUUGGGCGUAAAGGGUGCGUAGAUGGCAUGAUAAGUUAUUGGUGGUAAAUCGAGGCUCAACCUCGUGGAAGCUGGUAAUACUGUCAUACUUGAGUGCAGAAGAGGUUAACGGAACUCCCUGUGGAGCGGUAAAAUGUGAAGAUAUAGGGACGAACACCAAUAACGGCGAAGGCAGUUAACUAUUUUGCUACUGACAUUGAGGCACGAAAGCGUGGGGAGCAAAACGG